ACCAUGUCUAAGGAUAGCAGCAGGCGCGAAAAUUACCCAAUAUCAAUACGAUGAGGUAGUGACGAGAAAUAACGAGUCCGUUCUCUCUGAGGUCGGACAUUGGAAUGGGUACAAUCUAGACAAUUUAACGAGUAUCUACGAGAGGGCAAGUCUGGUGCCAGCAGCCGCGGUAAUUCCAGCUCUCGUAAUACAUAGAAUUAUUGUUGCGGUUAAAAAGUUCGUAGUUGAUCAGCGAACCGUUCGGGGUGCAUCCUAACGGGUGUCACUCGUCGGACGGUAUUUUGCGCGUUUGUGUGCGGUCGCCCUCGUGGUGGCUCGUAUGCUGCGUGCAGGAUUACUUUGAACGGCUUAAGUGCUCAAGGCGGGUCUUAGGACCGAAUACCGGUGCAUGGAAUAAUGGAACAAGGUUGCGGCCGAGUUUUAUUGGUUUUGUCGGCUGAAACAAUGGUUAACAGGAACAGCCGGGGGCAUUCGUAUCGCUGCGCGAGAGGUGAAAUUCGGGGACCGUAGCGAGACGCACUAAAGCGAAGGCAUUUGCCAAGAGUGUUUUCAUUAAUCAAGAACGAAAGUGAGAGGUUCGAAGGCGAUUAGAUACCGCCCUAGUUCUCACCGUAAAUGAUGCCAACUGCCAAUCCGCUGGUGGAUUUAAUUCACGAGCGGGCGGGUUUCCGGAAACGAAAGUCUUUCGGUUCCGGGGGAAGUAUGGUUGCAAAGCUGAAACUUAAAGGAAUUGACGGAAGGGCACCACCAGGAGUGGAGCUUGCGGCUUAAUUUGACUCAACACGGGAAACCUCACCCGGCCAGCACAUCGUAAGGAUUGACAGACCGAUAGCUCUUUCAUGAUUCGUUGGAUGGUGGUGCAUGGCCGUUCUUAGUUCGUGCUAAUUGAAGUGUCUGCUUUAUUGCGAUAACGAGCGAGACGCCAACUGUUAACUAGUGCGUUGAUUGGUUCGCUUGUCAACGAUCGACUUCUUAACGGGAUUUGUGGUUACUAGCCUCAAGAAAUGGCGCAAUAACAGGUCUGUGAUGCCCUUAGAUGUUCGGGGCCGCACGCGUGCUACAAUGGUGGUAUCAGCGUGCUUGUCCUACUCCGAAAGGAGAUGGCAAACAGUUGAGAUAUUAUUAUGGCUGGAAUUGAGUGUUGAAAUUUUCACUCAUGAACGAGGAAUUCCAAGUAAAUGCGAGUCAUCAACUCGCAUUGAUUACGUCCCUGCCCUUUGUACACACCGCCCGUCGCUCCCCGGGACUGAGUUGUUUCGAGAAAGCCACGGACCGGUGUCGCUCGUGUUUCGGCACGUACGACGC
Molecule: ribosomal RNA, 1305 nt
Filed under: Aphelenchoides pseudogoodeyi
Lineage: Eukaryota; Metazoa; Nematoda; Chromadorea; Rhabditida; Aphelenchoididae
Description: SSU rRNA
Rfam family: Eukaryotic small subunit ribosomal RNA
Source: RNAcentral